RNAcentral lists this ribosomal RNA (253 nucleotides) under uncultured bacterium. Its description in RNAcentral is "partial 16S ribosomal RNA". It matches the Rfam family "Bacterial small subunit ribosomal RNA", at positions 524 to 776 of the family's 1533-position model. The record is from RNAcentral.
UACGUAGGGACCGAGCGUUGUCCGGAUUCAUUGGGCGUAAAGAGCUCGUAGGCGGCUGUUCAAGUCGAACGUGAAAACUCGGAGCUCAACUCCGAGCCUGCGUUCGAUACUGGACGGCUAGAGUCUGGUAGGGGGAUCUGGAAUUCCUGGUGUAGCGGUGGAAUGCGCAGAUAUCAGGAGGAACACCGGUGGCGAAGGCGGGAUCCUGGGCCAGUACUGACGCUGAGAAGCGAAAGCAUGGGGAGCGAACAGG